This 419-nucleotide ribosomal RNA is filed under the name Salmonella enterica subsp. enterica serovar Kentucky. RNAcentral's name for it is "partial 23S ribosomal RNA". It matches the Rfam family "Bacterial large subunit ribosomal RNA", at positions 911 to 1327 of the family's 2925-position model. Lineage: Bacteria; Pseudomonadati; Pseudomonadota; Gammaproteobacteria; Enterobacterales; Enterobacteriaceae. The record is from RNAcentral.
UGUUUCGGCUAGGGGGCCAUCCCGGCUUACCAACCCGAUGCAAACUGCGAAUACCGGAGAAUGUUAUCACGGGAGACACACGGCGGGUGCUAACGUCCGUCGUGAAGAGGGAAACAACCCAGACCGCCAGCUAAGGUCCCAAAGUCAUGGUUAAGUGGGAAACGAUGUGGGAAGGCCCAGACAGCCAGGAUGUUGGCUUAGAAGCAGCCAUCAUUUAAAGAAAGCGUAAUAGCUCACUGGUCGAGUCGGCCUGCGCGGAAGAUGUAACGGGGCUAAACCAUGCACCGAAGCUGCGGCAGCGACACUGUGUGUUGUUGGGUAGGGGAGCGUUCUGUAAGCCUGCGAAGGUGUCCCGUGAGGGAUGCUGGAGGUAUCAGAAGUGCGAAUGCUGACAUAAGUAACGAUAAAGCGGGUGAAAA